RNAcentral lists this ribosomal RNA (698 nucleotides) under uncultured Bacteroidales bacterium. RNAcentral's name for it is "bacterial SSU rRNA". It matches the Rfam family "Bacterial small subunit ribosomal RNA", at positions 28 to 718 of the family's 1533-position model. Lineage: Bacteria; Pseudomonadati; Bacteroidota; Bacteroidia; Bacteroidales. The record is from RNAcentral.
GAUGAACGCUAGCGACAGGCUUAACACAUGCAAGUCGAGGGGCAGCACGAUGUAGCAAUACAUUGGUGGCGACCGGCGCACGGGUGAGUAACGCGUAUGCAACCUACCUAUCAGAGGGGAAUAACCCGGCGAAAGUCGGACUAAUACCGCAUAAAACAGGGGUUCCACAUGGAAAUAUUUGUUAAAGAAUUAUCGCUGAUAGAUGGGCAUGCGUUCCAUUAGAUAGUUGGUGAGGUAACGGCUCACCAAGUCCACGAUGGAUAGGGGUUCUGAGAGGAAGGUCCCCCACACUGGUACUGAGACACGGACCAGACUCCUACGGGAGGCAGCAGUGAGGAAUAUUGGUCAAUGGGCGAGAGCCUGAACCAGCCAAGUCGCGUGAAGGAUGAAGGAUCUAUGGUUUGUAAACUUCUUUUAUAUGGGAAUAAAGUGAGGAACGUGUUCCUUUUUGUAUGUACCAUAUGAAUAAGCAUCGGCUAACUCCGUGCCAGCAGCCGCGGUAAUACGGAGGAUGCGAGCGUUAUCCGGAUUUAUUGGGUUUAAAGGGUGCGUAGGUGGUUAAUUAAGUCAGCGGUGAAAGUUUGUGGCUCAACCAUAAAAUUGCCGUUGAAACUGGUUGACUUGAGUAUAUUUGAGGUAGGCGGAAUGCGUGGUGUAGCGGUGAAAUGCAUAGAUAUCACGCAGAACUCCGAUUGCGA